CCCCAACAGCUUAGCAGGGUUGAACCUUAACACUUGUGGAGAUCUGGCAAUCAGUCUUGGCACAAGUGAUACUGUCUUCGGGAUUACCACUGACCAUAAACCUAGCUUAGAUGGCCAUGUAUUUCCUAAUCCAGUAGAUACCAAAAGCUUCAUGGUAAUGUUGGUCUACAAGAAUGGGUCUUUGACUCGUGAAGAUAUACGUGAUCGUUAUGCAGAUGGAUCUUGGGAGGUUUUCAAUAUGUUUUUACAGCAAACACCACCUUUGAAUGGUGG
This 273-nucleotide unclassified non-coding RNA is filed under the name Hevea brasiliensis (rubber tree). The record is from RNAcentral. Lineage: Eukaryota; Viridiplantae; Streptophyta; Magnoliopsida; Malpighiales; Euphorbiaceae.